CCCUUAGAUGUUCUGGGCCGCACGCGCGCUACACUGAUGCGUUCAACGAGUAUACAACCUUGAUCGAUAGGUCUGGGUAAUCUUGUGAAUGCGCAUCGUGCUAGGGAUAGAUUGUUGCAAUUUUCAAUCUUGAACGAGGAAUUCCUAGUAAACGCAAGUCAUCAGCUUGCAUUGAUUACGUCCCUGCCCUUUGUACACACCGCCCGUCGCACCUACCGAUUGAAUGACUCGGUGAGCUCUUCGGACUGCGCGGUCUGCAGUUUCUGCGUUCCGUGCGGAAAGUUGCGCAAACCUUAACAUUUAGAGGAAGGAGAAGUCGUAACA
This 324-nucleotide ribosomal RNA is filed under the name uncultured eukaryote. Its description in RNAcentral is "partial 18S ribosomal RNA". It matches the Rfam family "Eukaryotic small subunit ribosomal RNA", at positions 1470 to 1796 of the family's 1831-position model. The record is from RNAcentral.